This is a small nucleolar RNA of Malania oleifera, 106 nucleotides long. The record is from RefSeq and is a predicted model, not a curated record. Lineage: Eukaryota; Viridiplantae; Streptophyta; Magnoliopsida; Santalales; Ximeniaceae.
AACUCGUGAUGUGGACAAAUAUUUGUUAGAUCCUUGAAUCUCUCCCAACAAGCUUGGAAAGUCUCGUCACCCUUGUGCAUAAAUUGAAUGAUCUGCUCUUGCAGGU